UCUAAUUUACCCAAAAUGUAUUUUUAAACCAAUUUUAAAAUCGAAAGAAUACCAAAUUAAAUUGUGUUUUAUUAUCCGCAUCAUCAUUAUUGUUAUACUUCAGAGCGUUGACAACAAAGAUCCCCACAAAAAACAUGUGAAGUCUUUGUUGUUGUUGCUGUUGUGUGCAGACAAUGAUGAUCUAACAUUUCAUUGCUGGCAUAUUUUUAGGCUCUGCGCUUGUAUGGGUGUGUGUGUGUCUGUGUUUUAUUGCAUAAAAUAAACAUUUGUGACAUAUGUUAGGCAAUGCAGAAGAAGGACAAAAAGCAAAUUAAAAUAAAAUAUGAAUAAAACAUUUGUGAUUUGUGAAUUGUA
Molecule: long non-coding RNA, 354 nt
Organism: Musca domestica (house fly)
Lineage: Eukaryota; Metazoa; Arthropoda; Insecta; Diptera; Muscidae
Exons: 2
Source: RefSeq, a predicted model, not a curated record